UACGUAGGGUGCAAGCGUUGUCCGGAUUUAUUGGGUUUAAAGGGUGCGUAGGCGGCCUGUUAAGUCAGUGGUGAAAUCCAACAGCUCAACUGUUGAUGUGCCAAUGAUACUGACAAACUUGAGUACAGACGAAAUAGGCGGAAUUAACAGUAUAACGGUGAAAUGCAUAGAUAUUGUCAAGAACACCGAUAGCGAAGGCAGCUUGCUAGCCUGUAACUGACGCUGAGGCACGAAAGUAUGGGGUCAAACA
Molecule: ribosomal RNA, 250 nt
Filed under: uncultured bacterium
Lineage: Bacteria
Description: partial 16S ribosomal RNA
Rfam family: Bacterial small subunit ribosomal RNA
Source: RNAcentral